GACGAACGCUGGCGGCGUGCUUAACACAUGCAAGUCGAACGGAAAGGCCCUGCUUUUGUGGGGUGCUCGAGUGGCGAACGGGUGAGUAACACGUGAGUAACCUGCCCUUGACUUUGGGAUAACUUCAGGAAACUGGGGCUAAUACCGGAUAGGAGCUCCUGCUGCAUGGUGGGGGUUGGAAAGUUUCGGCGGAUGGGGAUGGACUCGCGGCUUAUCAGCUUGUUGGUGGGGUAGUGGCUUACCAAGGCUUUGACGGGUAGCCGGCCUGAGAGGGUGACCGGCCACAUUGGGACUGAGAUACGGCCCAGACUCCUACGGGAGGCAGCAGUGGGGAAUAUUGCACAAUGGGCGGAAGCCUGAUGCAGCAACGCCGCGUGCGGGAUGAAGGCCUUCGGGUUGUAAACCGCUUUCGCCUGUGACGAAGCGUGAGUGACGGUAAUGGGUAAAGAAGCACCGGCUAACUACGUG
Molecule: ribosomal RNA, 468 nt
Filed under: uncultured bacterium
Lineage: Bacteria
Description: partial 16S ribosomal RNA
Rfam family: Bacterial small subunit ribosomal RNA
Source: RNAcentral